GUUAUCUACCAGGGGGUACUUAGCUUGUGCCAUGGUGAUACCGAGAGAGGCAAUUGCUAAGUUGUGAUACUCUCAUACCUUUACUAGAUUGCGAACGAUUCCGGAGAAGAUGAAGAAGUGGAUCGGACAAGGAUUUUAUUUGUAUUGUUGGGAUUCUUACAUUGAUGGAGUUGAAGAAGUACAGGGACAAAUAAGCCAAGGCAAGCCAUCUUUGAUCUCUGAUUGAUGUCAAGUGGAUGUCAUUUGUUGAUGUCCCAAAGUAUCUUGUUUCUAUGUGAGUUGUUCUCACUAUA
Long non-coding RNA from Lolium perenne, 293 nucleotides. RefSeq lists it as uncharacterized. Lineage: Eukaryota; Viridiplantae; Streptophyta; Magnoliopsida; Poales; Poaceae. The record is from RefSeq and is a predicted model, not a curated record.